AGCCCAUGGUGUGGGAAAAUCCUCAUCAUGUCCUUAUAUCUCUCCCAUGCUUCAAAAAGCGAUUCGCUGUCUUUUUGCCUAAAUCCGUUGAUUUGGCUUCUUAGCAU
Small nucleolar RNA from Lathyrus oleraceus (garden pea), 107 nucleotides. The record is from RefSeq and is a predicted model, not a curated record. NCBI's taxonomy places the organism in Eukaryota, Viridiplantae, Streptophyta, Magnoliopsida, Fabales, Fabaceae.